RNAcentral lists this ribosomal RNA (253 nucleotides) under uncultured bacterium. RNAcentral describes it as "partial 16S ribosomal RNA". It matches the Rfam family "Bacterial small subunit ribosomal RNA", at positions 524 to 776 of the family's 1533-position model. The record is from RNAcentral.
UACGUAGGGGGCAAGCGUUGUCCGGAUUUAUUGGGCGUAAAGAGCGUGUAGGCGGCCAGGUAGGUCCGCUGUGAAAACUCGAGGCUCAACCUCGAGAUGUCGGCGGAAACCAUCUGGCUAGAGUCCGGAAGAGGAGAGUGGAAUUCCUGGUGUAGCGGUGAAAUGCGCAGAUAUCAGGAAGAACACCCGUGGCGAAGGCGGCGACCUGGUCCGAUACUGACGCUGAGGCGCGAAAGCGUGGGGAGCAAACAGG